AAUAGCUUCGAAGGAGAAGGACUUGCAGCUUUUGUAAGCUUCUUCACAUAUAUAUAUUUUUUUGAAUACCAGGAGGUUCUGGGCCGAAACCACAGCAUGUAAUAUUAGUUUCGUCCCAAGCGUCACUCGAACCGGCGACCUCUAAGUUUCUUCACAUAUCAGUUUUUGUUUUUCUAAUCUUCAAAAACUUUUGGUGUAGGCAUGGAAAAGAUGGGUUGAAGGAAAGCCUGAGAUUAUAAUUGAUCCGUUCUUAAUAGAGAAACCAAGAAAUGAGAUCAUAAAGUUGAU
This 288-nucleotide small RNA is filed under the name Arabidopsis thaliana (thale cress). RNAcentral's name for it is "ATSL195100". The record is from RNAcentral. Lineage: Eukaryota; Viridiplantae; Streptophyta; Magnoliopsida; Brassicales; Brassicaceae.